GUAUUGAAAUAUCCCUCGGCCAUAGAAGAGUGGUGGAGAGAAUGUUGCAAUGUCCUUCACUUUAGUCUGAAUCUUCCUAAGUACCAACGUAUAGUUCCCUGGUCUGGCCUCCAGUGCUUCAGAAGCACCACCAACCAACACAACACAUGAAUGACCAGGGCCCAUUUUUGUCAAUAUGUGUUUCAAACUUUCUCUUGAUGCUGGACAUAUACCCAUGGCCAACAAAAAUUCACGAAGAAAUGGAAUCUUAAACUGGAUGUUCAGGGUUAUUAGAUGCACAGUAAGACCCGGAAAAUGUUUUGAAAAUCCAGUUGCUUCCGAGGCGAAAUUCCCCGUUGAUCCAACAGCCAUAACGCCAUGAGGAUGGCAGCCAAAGAGGUAUUUUAAGCGGUGCCCACUCGAUUCCAAAAGCUUUCGCCAUAGUGGAGGUUUUGCAAGACUAGCAAGUAUUUGUUGAAUGAAAACAACUUAACAAAAUGGAAGCAGUUCAAGGUCCAAAGUGUAAAACAUUCACAUGUAAUUACAGGAAGUCACAAGGUCAGCAUCUUUUCGUAAGGGUAAUACAUUUUUUAAGACAACUAAAACUUAUAAAUCAACUUUUUAUCAUCUAUACUCCCUUUUCCUUCAACCAUUAUUCUAAACCAGAGGAGAACAAAUACAUUAAGAAUCACAAUCUGAGCUUAACAUCUUUGAAAUCGUUGAUAUAGACUGCAUCAAGAGCAGUGGCGUGCCGUCACGCAAGCGUAGGAAAUUCCAAUAAUCUACGAAUUUUGUUCGUUGUUCUUGAAUCUUAUCUUUCGUCUCGCGAACUUUCGUGACACAGAAGACAAUAUCGAACUGCUUACUCUCUGAAUGAUAUUAUACUUUAUAAUUACGUAAAACAACUCAAAUUUCAAGUACAUUAUCCGCUGUGUAAUAACUGCACCUUCUUUAACCAAAUAUAU
Xenia sp. Carnegie-2017 is the source of this 944-nucleotide long non-coding RNA. RefSeq lists it as uncharacterized. The record is from RefSeq and is a predicted model, not a curated record. NCBI's taxonomy places the organism in Eukaryota, Metazoa, Cnidaria, Anthozoa, Malacalcyonacea, Xeniidae. The transcript is spliced from 3 exons.